Molecule: ribosomal RNA, 402 nt
Filed under: uncultured bacterium
Lineage: Bacteria
Description: bacterial SSU rRNA
Rfam family: Bacterial small subunit ribosomal RNA
Source: RNAcentral
UGGGGAACCUUGCACAAUGGGGGCAACCCUGAUGCAGCGACGCCGCGUGAGCGAUGAAGCCCUUCGGGGCGUAAAGCUCUUUCGACCGGAACGAUAAUGACGGUACCGGGAGAAGAAGCUGCGGCUAACUACGUGCCAGCAGCCGCGGUAAUACGUAGGCAGCAAGCGCUGUUCGGAGUUACUGGGCGUAAAGAGUGCGUAGGCGGUUUUCUAAGUUCGGUGUGAAAUCUCCCGGCUUAACUGGGAGGGUGCGCCGAAGACUGGGAAGCUGGAGUGUGGGAAAGGCAGGCGGAAUUCCUGGUGUAGCGGUGAAAUGCGUAGAUAACAGGAGGAACACCGGCGGUGUAGACGGCUUGCUAGACCAUAACUGACGCUGAGGCACGAAAACGUGGGUAGCAAACA